Molecule: ribosomal RNA, 441 nt
Filed under: uncultured bacterium
Lineage: Bacteria
Description: partial 16S ribosomal RNA
Rfam family: Bacterial small subunit ribosomal RNA
Source: RNAcentral
CUACGGCUGCUGCAGUGGGGAAUAUUGGGCAAUGGGCGCAAACCUGACCCAGCAACGCCGCGUGAGGGAAGAAUGUCUUCGGAUUGUAAACCUCUGUCCUUAGGGACGAAAAAAAUGACGGUACCUAAGGAGGAAGCUCCGGCUAACUACGUGCCAGCAGCCGCGGUAAUACGUAGGGAGCAAGCGUUGUCCGGAAUUAUUGGGCGUAAAGGGUGCGUAGGCGGUAAUCCAAGUCAGAUGUGAAAGACCCGGGCUUAACUCGGGAGGUGCAUUUGAAACUGGGUUACUUGAGUACAGGAGAGGUAAGUGGAAUUCCUAGUGUAGCGGUGAAAUGCGUAGAUAUUAGGAGGAACACCAGUGGCGAAGGCGACUUACUGGACUGUCACUGACGCUGAGGCACGAAAGCGUGGGGAGCAAACAGGAUUAGAUACCCCCGUAGUC